GGGGUCACUCCAUCUCGGGUAAUUGGGCGGCUCUUUGGCGCUUAGCACGGCGGUGGUCUGGUCCCCAUCGGACGCCGCGUCGUCGAAGGGCUGAGCCGAUUCGGAAGCAGCUGAAAACAGCCUCGGAGAAAGUUGAACAAAGCUAGGAUUCGGCAGCCGCUGAUAGCAGAAGCGAAGCCGGAGAAGUGGUAGACCUCUGAGGAGUAACGGAGCAGCCAUUGUUAAGCGUUUUUUGAGUGAUCAGUAGUUUUUGACUUAU
RNAcentral lists this unclassified non-coding RNA (259 nucleotides) under Hevea brasiliensis (rubber tree). The record is from RNAcentral. Lineage: Eukaryota; Viridiplantae; Streptophyta; Magnoliopsida; Malpighiales; Euphorbiaceae.